GCGGCAGUAGGUUUAAGUGUAGACUGUGGGGUUUCCAACCCCGGUGUGUGUUCAGAUACCUACCGCUC
RNAcentral lists this transfer RNA (68 nucleotides) under Graffilla buccinicola. Its description in RNAcentral is "tRNA-Gly". The record is from RNAcentral. Lineage: Eukaryota; Metazoa; Platyhelminthes; Rhabdocoela; Graffillidae.